RNAcentral lists this unclassified non-coding RNA (1130 nucleotides) under Hevea brasiliensis (rubber tree). Lineage: Eukaryota; Viridiplantae; Streptophyta; Magnoliopsida; Malpighiales; Euphorbiaceae. The record is from RNAcentral.
GUUUUUUGCUCUAAUGCAUAUUUCCAAAUUUUUCUUGUGAUCUGUGCUAUCCAGUUUUCCUCUUCUUUUUUCGAGAUCUACCUCCUCUCUAAGCUUGCUCAUGGCAAGUAAAGAUUCCUUUGUCAGGGUUGAAGCCUUUACUGGGGGAGAAGCCCUUGAUGUAUUCCUAUCAUCAUCAACCAGUAAGUAGCGAUAGCCCUUCACAUGAUAAGCAUUCUCGCCGCCCCAUCCCUUUGAUAGUUUCUCUUCAACUUUCAAGAUCUUAAGUGAUGCAUUUUCAAGAACUUGCCGCUUUAACAGGGAAACACCUUGCUCCCCAUUAGAAAUGGAGGAAACAGGAAUUAGAAUGAUUAAGGUAAGGCCUCUAUACUGAUAAGCACAGAGAUAUACUUUUUCUUCAGUCUCUUGAAGCCAAAUUGUUGGGGUGGCAGAAAUCAUGCUAUCCAUUUCCCUUCCCCAAACAUCAGUGACAAGAAAACCAUCUUUCCCUUUAGACCACUUGUCAUGCCAUAAGGGUCUUUUAACAUUAUAACCGCUGUCUUGGCCAGGAGAAUUGCCAUGCGAAUGAUAAAGAUGUUCUGAAGCAGAGCCAUAAUGGGCCAAGGUAGAUGCUGCAGCUAUGUGAGACACGGUAUUUCCUUUGAGUAAAUAGGACCAGGAACUUACUCCAGAGGAUAGAGCACGAGGGGUCAACCUUAGAACAGAAUAUGCAAAUAAGUUUAUGGUGUCAUCUGCAGAAAUUGUUGUGGACACAAGCAAGUCCUGAAACAAAAUCAAUGAGUAACAAGGUGUUGUCCCAGCACAAGAUUCCAGUAUCCUCACAAGCAACUGAACUUCAAUUGCAGCCUCCCUCCCAACAGUCAGCAUCUGUACGGUUCUGCGCUUUGUUAAACAGUCACGAAAUGAAGGUAAGUGGAGUUUUUUCCCAACAAGAAAAUCACUUAGAUAAUCCAUGAUGAAAGGGUACAAAUGAGAGCGAACUAGUCCUCCAGUAGGUUCAUUCUCAAGCAUUGCUCUUAUAGAACCAUGAAACAUCAUGAAAAGAGAGUGAACUUCCUGAAGUACCUCUCUCAAUGCAUCAAUUCGCCAUGUGGCUUCCGACUCCACACUUUUCUCUACCAUCAUCACCA